This 433-nucleotide long non-coding RNA is filed under the name Pan troglodytes (chimpanzee). Its description in RNAcentral is "long non-coding RNA NONPTRT013776". Lineage: Eukaryota; Metazoa; Chordata; Mammalia; Primates; Hominidae. The record is from RNAcentral.
UCCCAGGUGAAGCCCUUGGGGAAAAGCCCCCAGGUGAAACCUGCCUCCACCAUGGGCAUGGGGCCCUUGGGGAAAGGCGCCGGCCCAGUGCCACCUGGGAAGGUGGGGCCUGCAACCCCCUCGGCCCAGGUGGGGAAGUGGGAGGAGGACUCAGAGAGCAGUAGUGAGGAGUCAUCAGACAGCAGUGAUGGAGAGGUGCCCACAGCUGUGGCCCCGGCUCAGGAAAAGUCCUUGGGGAACAUCCUCCAGGCCAAACCUGCCUCCAGUCCUGCCAAGGGGCCCCCUCAGAAGGCAGGGCCUGUAGCCGUCCAGGUCAAGGCUGAAAAGCCCAUGGACAACUCGGAGAGCAGCGAGGAGUCGUCGGACAGUGCGGACAGUGAGGAGGCACCAGCAGUCAUGACUGCAGCUCAGGUGAGGCCUGGGGAAGGAGGCU